GUUUGUUGUUUUUGUUUUUCUCUUUGGGUCCUCAUGUAGCAAUAUAGAGAGUAGUUUCUAACAGGCUGAUUGGAAUGUCUUUAGUCCUCAAGUUUUUUUUUCUGGAAGAGCAGCCUCAAACCACAAGCAGCCACAGGAUUUCAGACAGUGGAAAGCCCCUGUUUCCUAGACAAGCCUUUUUUUUUUUAGGACUAGGGAGAUAAUAAAAUCCUUCCCUUCCCUACACAUUCGGUACACCUUCAUUCCUAUACCCACCCCUCACCUCGACUCCUGCCACCUGACUAACAGAAAAUGAUCAGGAUGGUGAAAGCAAUCAGCAAAGAGACCAUGACUUUUCAGCCAUGAGUUUCUGGUUCCAGUUCUAUUCUGAUUGUUACAAAUGCUCUUUAUUUAUCAGUAACUCUAAUUAACUGGGUUAGUACAUGUACCAGGAACAGCAUAAGCCCCCUGCCACACUCGGUGGUAAUUCCAACAGAGACACCAAAU
This 486-nucleotide long non-coding RNA is filed under the name Homo sapiens (human). RNAcentral describes it as "HSALNT0014421". The record is from RNAcentral. Lineage: Eukaryota; Metazoa; Chordata; Mammalia; Primates; Hominidae.